Molecule: long non-coding RNA, 3378 nt
Filed under: Linum usitatissimum (flax)
Lineage: Eukaryota; Viridiplantae; Streptophyta; Magnoliopsida; Malpighiales; Linaceae
Description: long non-coding RNA (LUSI_LNC004855)
Source: RNAcentral
AAUAUUUAAAGUGAAAAUUACUGAAGGCUCAGUAGUGCAUAAUAUCGAAAGUACAUAUUGUCUCAAGUCUCAAAACAAAAGUACAUAAGUCUCAAAACAAAAGUACAUAAGUCUCAUUACACAACAUAGAUAGAAAAUAAUAACAUAUGACAGUCACAAAUUCUAACGGUACAGUCUCUGGUGGCGGAAGUCACAUACAAGUCUGCAACACUGCAUCUAAGAUGCUUGACCGCCUCAGAUUCGUACUCCUGUCUCAUCGUCCCAACAAGGUAUGGAUGCAUAUGGUCCAACACCCUGUAAGCAAGCUGCACAGUGGAAAAGGAAACAAGUUAGCUACCGGUAUCAAACGCCGGAACACCAGUAGGGAGGGGCCUGAGGAUGCGCGGGUGGGUGUGGCNNNNNNNNNNNNNNNNNNNNNNNNNNNNNNNNNNNNNNNNNNNNNNNNNNNNNNNNNNNNNNNNNNNNNNNNNNNNNNNNNNNNNNNNNNNNNNNNNNNNNNNNUCUAAACAAAGACUGAAAUGGCAUCAGCCUGGACCAGUCCUCGUCCAUCCAAGCUCUAUCUGUGCUGUCAGCCCACUCAACUGUGUAUCCAUUAGGCUCAGCCGCACUGUAUACCCUGGAAGGCAUAGGGAUAAGACCCGGAAUCAUCUGUGCGUAGCCGAACUGUCUAACCACACGCGUCGGAUCAUAGUACUCUGUUGUCGGUCCGAAUCUAAUGACCCCACGAAAAGUCGAAUCGGGAACCUCCACCUUGGGACGUGGCCCAGAUGGCAGCCAAAUCACAUCCCGUGCGGUCAUAUCAUCAAGCAGACGACGGUAGUACUCCAGACGACGGUGCAUGAAGUCGUAUGAUCUAUCUGGCAGCUCGCUACUGCUCCACCACCCAACCAAGGCCUCAGUAUCACCCCGCUCCCGAGCCACUUGUCUAGCAGCACGAGUACUAGGGAAGUACUUGUGAAUCCAAGUCUGAAGUAGAGACACGCUCCCCACCAUCCCCUUACACUUAGCCAUACUCGCCUUACCCAGCUCGUGGUACAACCAUGCUAGAGCCCCAGUUCCCCAAGCAUAUCUCAAAACAGUGGACACGACCCCCAUAAAAUACUCCCACAAUACAAGACGAGUACGAUCGGCGGACUUAUCAGUGAACAGUGUCGACCCUAGCAGACAAAACAUGAAUACCCUGUAUGCAUCCUCAUCCACUAUACCGCUCCCUAGGGCUAACAUCAACUUCUCAUGCAUCGCAACACCCUUCAGCCAAGGGUAGCAUGCAUCACCACCUACAGCGCCUCCAACUGGCAACUUCAAAUCCCCGGGAUGGAUACAGAGAGCCCUAGCUAUAACGGCCUACAGAUCAACGCUGGAUCGAGGAAUGUGAAGUGGACGUCCGUGUUCUGGGAUACGGAGAAUAUGCCAUACAUCAUGAAGUGUGAUGGUCAUCAUGAAGGGCAUGUGGAACGUGUUAGUAUCCGGCUGCCACCUCUAAACAAAAGCGUGGAUUAGUGCCUCGUCUAACUGAUCGGUCAUCCCAAAAUGACCCAAAUGGAGAAGUCCUGUGGUAGACAUCAUCAUCUCAAGAGUCGGUGUGUAUGACUGGAAUCUUAUCACAUGCCUGACAUGAUCCGGACGGGUGUAGAACCUGAAAUCUCGGAUGUUACGGUAGUCCGCACCGAGCUCCCACAGAUAAUGCGCAAUGUGACCCCGAAACUAGGAAUCACACUGGUCGCAAUCGGGCCUCUAUCCUCGCCUCGAGCUGCCAAGUGUGGGAAAGGUUUCCCCCAGCUCCAGUAGUCUCGACCUCCUCAUCUCUCUUCCCACCAUGUGUACUUGUGACAGGAGCAAAACGAGCAUCUCUCCCAGCUGCAACACCAACGCUCCCUGAAGCAUGAGACAAACUAGUGAAAACCCUAAACGGUGGAGGCGGAUAGGUAUCAGACUCGUAGCCACCAAAUAACUCCUCCUUGCUGUCAUCUGGCAUAAAUCUCCGUCGUGAAGUUAGAAAGGGGGGAAGUCUAACAGGCCUAGUGGGGGAUGGAGGUUUAUCAUGGGAUACCGAAAUUCUAAUUGGGGGGAAAGGCUCAGGGGUUUCGUAGAUCUUUUAUUUUUUCUUCUUCUUAUCUUCUUCUCUCCUAUUACAAGUAGUAAUCGCACGCUCGGCAAGUCGGUUAAUAGUUUCCAUUGACUUACCCUUCCCUCGCAUUUUCUGAAUUCCAUCAGUCUCUUCUUCUAACUAUAAUAAACGAAAUUAUCUAAUUAAUCACAUACAUAUAAAAAAUCUAAUUAAUUAAAUUAACUCUAAUUAUCAAAAUUCAUCUAAACCCUAAACCUUAAACUUAUUCAAAAUUCAUUAAAACCAUAACCCUAAAGUAAUUCAAAAUCCAUUAAAACCCUAAAUCCUAAACCCUAAACUAAUUUAGAAUUCAUUAAAACCCUAACUCUAAACUAAUUCAGAUUCAUUAAAACCCUAAACCCUAAACUAAAUUCAUCUAAACCCUAAGCCCUCAACUUUUAUGUCAACUUAUUCAAAAUUCAUUAAAACCAUAACCCUAAAGUAAUUCAAAAUCCAUUAAAACCCUAAAUCCUAAACCCUAAACUAAUUUAGAAUUCAUUAAAACCCUAACUCUAAACUAAUUCAGAUUCAUUAAAACCCUAAACCCUAAACUAAAUUCAUCUAAACCCUAAACCCUAAACUAAUUCACAAUUAAAUAAUUUGAAUAAUUUUUUUUUUUUGAAAAAGGCGUGUAAACAGACGGCGGGUCCGUCCAUUUACAAACCCUUAAAAAAUGGACCCAAACGGACGGACCCGCCUCCGUCUGGGUCCAUUUUCUCAAUUUUUUUUUGUUAAAAACGCAUUAUUGAGGGUUAUCUGAUCGAAAGUCGUCGAUCUUCAAGUUCGAAACUUCAAUUUCUCGUCGAAUCUUCGAGUUAGGAUCUUCAACUUCUAACGAAACUUUCAACUUUUGUUUUUUAGAUUGAAUGUGUUUGUCGAAGAUUGAACUUCUUAUAAAUUUUGAAUGUUUACGGAAGGUCAAUUUAGUAAUUUAUCGUUUUAGAGCGUCGUUUAAUUCGAAAAUUAGGGCGUCGUUUAGGGAUUCAUGAACAAAGUUUUCAAACAGAAAAUCGUUUUCACAAACAUUUAGCUUACAAAUCCAUUGUCAAUAACCAAAUAGUCACUUUUUCAUAUUUUAAAGUAAUCUAUUCAACAACAAAACUACCACCAUCUACCAAGCAAAAUCAAAAUAAAUAAAUAAAUAAAAUAAAUUUUUACCUUUCUCGUCCGCCUCUUCUCCAGCUGACGGAUCCGUCGUCGGUGGACACUUUGUUUUUUCCUUUCUUCUGUUUCCUACUUCUUCUCCUCCCGCUCCACCGAUUUCAAACCCC